Helianthus annuus (common sunflower) is the source of this 1502-nucleotide RNA transcript. It is a transcript of the gene named kinesin-like protein KIN-14I, with no coding region annotated. The record is from RefSeq and is a predicted model, not a curated record. Lineage: Eukaryota; Viridiplantae; Streptophyta; Magnoliopsida; Asterales; Asteraceae. The transcript has 6 exons.
UGUUUGUAACUCUUGCAUUAGUUGUGGUAUAGGCUUUGUUAACUUGUAACUACUGCUAUUGGGGUUGUAAACAUAUAGGCUACUGGAGAAUCAUUUCAACCCACACCGCCCCCACCUCCUCUCCUCUCACCACCCCUUGAAACCUCCAUCGCCUCCACGACGCUUUAUCACUCACUGGUUCAAAACCCUAAUCAGAAACUUUAACUCGCCAGACCGGAUAGAACCACGUCCUCUCGCCGUCGAUUCAAAGCGCAAGGCAUCGGAAUACGACGUCGCUGACGAAUCCUGGAAACUAUCCAAGUGUUAGAAACCCUCGCCGGAAAAAUUCAUGGUCCGACUCGAGAUUUCCUCACCGGAUUACCGCACUCUGUUUGUCUUUUUCUCAGAAGUUCUCGGCCUAUUCUUUGUUCUACUGAAGUUGGGUAGAUGAUGACUGUGGAAGCUAGACGCACCACUUCAUAUCACUUUGUCGAUGGGUUUAGGGUUCAGUGGUCAAAGACGUCCUUAACCGCUCACAAGGCCUUGAUUCGGACUCCAAUAGAGUACAUGAAGCUGCAAUAAUGAAGGUUCAGCAUGGUUGAGAAGCAACAAGAAGAUAUGAAGGUUUAGCAUGGUUGAGACAAAUGGUAAGAGUUGUUGGAGUAAAGAAUUUGCACGCAAAUCCUUCGCCUUCCGACGAAGAGUUUCGGCUUGGUUCAAGGAGUGGAUUAAAUUUAUGCAAUGUGAUUAAUAAAGUACAUCCUCGAACUGUUUCUAAGGUUGUAGAAAGUUCAUGUGAUUCUGCUGCUUCACUGGAUAGAGCUGCUUUAUCUGCAUAUCAGUAUUUUGAGAAUGCGAGGAACUUUUUAGUCGCUGUUGAGCAAAUGCGGCUCCAUACCUUUGAAGCAUCAGAAUUAGAACAAGGAGGAAAAACAUCAAGAAUUGUGAAUUGUGUAUUGACACUCAAACCAUACAGUUAGUGGAAACAAACAAGUGGCCAUGGGACUUGGAGAUUUGGGGGAGUAGUGAAACUGAGAACGCCUAGCAAAGCAUUGUUCGUAGAAACUCAGGUCCCUUCUCAAAUUCUUUGUCAAGGAUGAAUGUUCAAUGUCAAGAUAACAAAAUGGUUAAGAAAGUUUGAUAUGGGUCUGGUGCUUAUGAAAGCUUUAAAUAUGGGUGUGGUGAGAGCAAAUGAUUAAAUAAUUAAGCUUUUACAAGCACAUAUAGCUUCAAUGAGCAACAACAAUCAAGUAGGGAGCACGAGGUUGACAUAUUAAGACAAAGCUUGCGAGUCAUCAGUUACAACAACUACGGCAGGAAGAGGAAACAACUUAGGCGACUUUCAUUUCACUUGGAUGUUGUGCUAAUAUGCCUUUGCAGGAUGUUACUGUUGUAUGAUUUAGUUUAUUAUGCUUCUUUUCCUUUUUGCUUCCCUUGGUAUAUUGUGGCGAGCCUCUGGCAUGUAGUUUUUUUAUGGAUUAAUAAAAAAUGGUCUUUUGUUUGCCAAACGUGGCGGGUAAUAC